Long non-coding RNA from Panicum virgatum (switchgrass), 92 nucleotides. RefSeq lists it as uncharacterized. The transcript is spliced from 2 exons. Lineage: Eukaryota; Viridiplantae; Streptophyta; Magnoliopsida; Poales; Poaceae. The record is from RefSeq and is a predicted model, not a curated record.
UGACAUCCAAGAGAAUAUGGAGGAAUUAGAAAUGAUGGAAAAAGAGUUAAUUGAAGAAUUUGGUAACCAUAAAGCCCAGAAUAUUGGCAAAG